CCUACGGGAGGCAGCAGUGGGGAAUCUUGCGCAAUGGGCGGAAGCCUGACGCAGCAACGCCGCGUGUGGGAAGACGGCUUUCGGGUUGUAAACCACUUUCAGGGGGGACGAAGCUUCCGAGGUUAAUAGCCUACGGGGUGACGGUACCCCCAGAAGAAGCCCCGGCUAACUACGUGCCAGCAGCCGCGGUAAUACGUAGGGGGCGAGCGUUGUCCGGAAUCAUUGGGCGUAAAGCGCGUGUAGGCGGCUUGAUAAGUCUGGUGUGAAAUCUUGGGGCUUAACCCCAAGCCUGCACUGGAUACUGUCAAGCUUGAGUCCGGGAGGGGAGAGCGGAAUUCCUAGUGUAGCGGUGAAAUGCGCAGAUAUUAGGAAGAACACCGGUGGCGAAGGCGGCUCUCUGGAACGGUACUGACGCUGAGACGCGAAAGCGUGGGGAGCGAACAGGAUUAGAUACCCUGGUAGUCCACGCCGUAAACGAUGGGCACUAGAUGUGGGCGGUGUCGACUCCGUCCGUGUCGAGCUAACGCAUUAAGUGCCCGCCUGGGAGUCGGCCGCAGGCUAAAACUCAAAUGAAUUGACGGCNGAGACGNGCGACGACGACGACGAGGGAGAGG
Molecule: ribosomal RNA, 614 nt
Filed under: uncultured bacterium
Lineage: Bacteria
Description: bacterial SSU rRNA
Rfam family: Bacterial small subunit ribosomal RNA
Source: RNAcentral